AUGGGUCAAAUCGGAUUAUCUUAACCUCCAUUCAUCCAGAACCUCUCGGCAAGCUUCGCCUGUACGAUUUUCAUUUUUUUCUUUAUCCUCUUAUUUUUUCACUUGUUCAAUUAGGCGUGAUUUCCUGGACAUUUCACCAGCGCUAACUGAGGCGGCUGGUGCCAUUGUUGAUAUUUGAACCUGAUAUGCUUGCAUUCUCCGGAUGCAAUUAUGGAGGUGGACAAAAGGAAAGGACAGAACUUGGGGAAAUUCGGAAGAGGUGGAAAACUUUACAUGAUAAAAACCCGGACAAAGAACGAAAGCAAGGAAGAUGUCCACUGAUUCCUGAGGAAGUUGGUCUUAUGCUGAGAGCAUUGGGUUUUGGAAGUGAUCUGAACAUGUAUGUGGCAUCAGGGGAAGUCUCUGGAGGUGAAGAGACUCUAGCACCACUCAAGGCGCGAUUUCCAAAUUUAUUCGAAAGAUAGGAGAUAUUUUGGGCAAAAGCCAACAAUUCCACAAAACAUGCAUGGGAAGAAUUUGCCUUAACAGAUUAUGAGCAUGAACAAGAAUACAGGAUUCAUCGGAUAUAGAUUAUAUAGAGAAUGAACAUGAUGCUCUGGAGAAGGGUGAUUUAUUCAUAAGUAGCUUACCAAGGAUAGACCAACUAGAACUGAAGGAGUUGGUCUCUGACAAACAAAUGAGACUGCUCUCUCACUGACCAAAUGCUCUUAGCCAAACCAUUUUUUCAUCACGAGAAGGAGCGCCUUGUAUAUAGUUAAGGACUCGGUGAAUAAGCAGGUUUCGAUAACAGAUAUUUGUAAUGAUUGCUUAUAGAGAAUAGGCUUGCAUAGAAGUACAGCUUCUUGCAGCAAAGCCAUUAGUAGCUGUAACAUUUAUUGACUCUUCUUUCCGUAAGGCGCGGUUGUUAUAGAAUGGGAACCUGAAUCUUAUAAAAAGA
Molecule: long non-coding RNA, 937 nt
Organism: Mercurialis annua (annual mercury)
Lineage: Eukaryota; Viridiplantae; Streptophyta; Magnoliopsida; Malpighiales; Euphorbiaceae
Exons: 4
Source: RefSeq, a predicted model, not a curated record